UACGGGGGGAGCAAGCGUUGUUCGGAUUUACUGGGCGUAAAGGGCGCGUAGGCGGCUUGUCGCGUCGAAUGUGAAAUCUCAGGGCUCAACUCUGACAUUGCAUUCGAUACGGGCAGGCUAGAGUUCGGUAGGGGAGACUGGAAUUCCUGGUGUAGCGGUGAAAUGCGCAGAUAUCAGGAGGAACACCGGUGGCGAAGGCGGGUCUCUGGGCCGAUACUGACGCUGAGGAGCGAAAGCGUGGGGAGCGAACAGG
Molecule: ribosomal RNA, 253 nt
Filed under: uncultured bacterium
Lineage: Bacteria
Description: partial 16S ribosomal RNA
Rfam family: Bacterial small subunit ribosomal RNA
Source: RNAcentral